GAUGAACGCUGGCGGCGUGCCUAAUACAUGCAAGUCGAGCGAACGGACGAGAAGCUUGCUUUUCUGAUGUUAGCGGCGGACGGGUGAGUAACACGUGGAUAACCUACCUAUAAGACUGGGAUAACUUCGGGAAACCGGAGCUAAUACCGGAUAAUAUUUUGAACCGCAUGGUUCAAAAGUGAAAGACGGUCUUGCUGUCACUUAUAGAUGGAUCCGCGCUGCAUUGGCUAGUUGGUAAGGUAACGGCUUACCAAGGCAACGAUGCAUAGCCGACCUGAGAGGGUGAUCGGCCACACUGGAACUGGGACACGGUCCAGACUCCUACGGGAGGCAGCAGUAGGGAAUCUUCCGCAAUGGGCGAAAGCCUGACGGAGCAACGCCGCGUGAGUGAUGAAGGUCUUCGGAUCGUAAAACUCUGUUAUUAGGGAAGAACAUAUGUGUAAGUAACUGUGCACAUCUUGACGGUACCUAAUCAGAAAGCCACGGCUAACUACGUG
RNAcentral lists this ribosomal RNA (497 nucleotides) under uncultured bacterium. RNAcentral describes it as "partial 16S ribosomal RNA". It matches the Rfam family "Bacterial small subunit ribosomal RNA", at positions 28 to 507 of the family's 1533-position model. The record is from RNAcentral.